RNAcentral lists this long non-coding RNA (2459 nucleotides) under Dunaliella salina. RNAcentral's name for it is "long non-coding RNA (DSAL_LNC000083)". Lineage: Eukaryota; Viridiplantae; Chlorophyta; Chlorophyceae; Chlamydomonadales; Dunaliellaceae. The record is from RNAcentral.
ACCUGGAAUUUACACACAUCACUUGGGAUUUGUGCGUAUUGACAACCAAAGAUUUCCUCAUGGCAUAGUCUUUCAAGUUGUUCAGAAGUUUUUGUAAACUUGGUUGCCUGUUUGCUGUAAAAGCCAGAUCAUCAGCAAAAAGUAAAUGUGUCACAGUUAAAUUUGGGAUGGCUGUCAGAGCACCUUGUACAACCUCUGCAACAGUAUCAAUAUCGUUGAGAUAAAUUGCGAAAAGAAGAGGUGAUAGAGGACAUCCUUGUUUAACCCCACACACUGGCUGAACACUAGCCAUUUUGUCACCAUCAAGCAGAGUAUAUUCAUCCAUGUGAUACAGAUCCUGGAGAAUAGCAAUGAGUUGUUGAGGUAGUCGACAACGAUAAAGAUGUUUCCGCAGCUUUUCCCGAGGAACAGAGGCAUAAGCUUGCUGAAAGUCAAUAAAUGCUGUAAACAACCUGGAGGUAUUACUCCGAGUCUUUUGUGAGGCGUUUUUCAGGUGUCGUAGGAUGAAGAUUGCAACCAAUCGGUUGAAGAGUACCUCUUCCUGGAUAAAAUCCAAAUUGGGUAUCAGGGAUUUUCCUGUGGUGGAUACACCAAUCUUGAAUAAUGGAUCUCAGGACAUUGGUGUACAGCCGAUAGAUAGGAGCGCUCACAGCUAUCAUCCAAUAAUUAGUUGGAGAAACAACGGGGCCCUUUUUAUGGAUUGGGGCGAGUUUAGCUUCCUUCCAAGACCUACAGAUCCCAGAACAUGCUAAUAAUAGAACCCUCCCUAAGUAUAUUUUCCCACUCCGCUUUCCUGAUAAGGAUAGGCUCACUUCCAGCCGGCCUGAUGCUCUAUUACUUGUUCCUCUGAAAAGAACGCCUAGGUCAAAUCCCCAAUUUCAAUUGAGAAGUGCAGGGGGGCGCGGGGGAACAGGGAGGACUCAGCAGCAGCCACANCAGGAAAGGAAAAGGCCUUCAGUCAAAACGCACGACUGCUAGCCUGUUCAUAAAAAGUAACAAUUUCAUGGAUAAAAUAUACAAGUUUAUUAUUACCUUGAAGAAGAAAAUUACGAACAUCUUGCCUCCUGGUUAUUGAAUAGAAAGGCAUACUUAGCACGCAAUGCAACGACAUGGGGGUGAGUACAGUGAAAAAUAACAUGUUUUUCAUCUCGAAUACAAUCUACAUCCUGACACAAAUCACAAUGAGAGGAAGAACCCUGAUUCCAAGUAGAUGUUUCAUACCAAAGAGUAUGGACACGAAGCCUAAAGCGGGCAACAUUGCGAAGAACAUCGUUGGGGAGGGCAAGGUAGAAAUAUUUAGGAGUUUGAAAAGGGGCCUGGGUGGCUACAAUGUUGCGGAUAGGCAGCGCACACCAAUGAUGAUAGGUACGGUGUUUGCUAUUCCGUUGCCUAGGAGUGGGGCCGGAGAAUUGAGUCCAAAAAUGAAGCUGUCUGGAUCUGAGGUCAACCACAAAUUGUCGAAGGUAGAUUGGUUCACAAUUCAUUAUGUUAAGCUUGAAUUGACUAGCAUGAUGCAAUCCAUCCAUGGCAAUAAUUAUGUGUGAAGACCAGCAGUCACCAGAGGAAGAAGAUAAACAGAUAUCCGCUUGUAAGACCUUUCUGACCGUGAUGCUAUUGCAUUGUGUAAACGAGUUAUACAGACGAAUAGCUGCUCGGAACCAAUUGAGUUGCAACGGUUCUAGCCCACACUCUCGCAGCACAGACCAAGAAGGAGUUGUGUCUCUGACACCCAGCCACCUUUUUAAGUGUCGCAAUAAGCCAUUUUUGUUAUGGGUUAUCCAUUUCUUUACCUUGCUUAAGGAAGGGGGUUGCCCAAAUCUGGCUUGCAUACAUACCAGCAGGAAUGGAAUAAGUCUUAAGUAACCAAAUGAGAGCAUGAAAUCGGUUGAUCAGACCGUGCUCCUGAGCAAAGCGUUGUAUUUUGAAAGUCCCAUUCACAAAAGGCUGUAAGGCUGCAUCUGUUGCUGUUGAAAGAUGAAAUUGCUUAUCAAUCACCAUCCCCAGAUAUUUGAAAUGGUCAGUGUAAGGUAUGGGUGACCCAUCAUAGAAAAAAGUCGGCAGAUUGUCAGACCUGGAAUUUACACACAUCACUUGGGAUUUGUGCGUAUUGACAACCAAAGAUUUCCUCAUGGCAUAGUCUUUCAAGUUGUUCAGAAGUUUUUGUAAACUUGGUUGCCUGUUUGCUGUAAAAGCCAGAUCAUCAGCAAAAAGUAAAUGUGUCACAGUUAAAUUUGGGAUGGCUGUCAGAGCACCUUGUACAACCUCUGCAACAGUAUCAAUAUCGUUGAGAUAAAUUGCGAAAAGAAGAGGUGAUAGAGGACAUCCUUGUUUAACCCCACACACUGGCUGAACACUAGCCAUUUUGUCACCAUCAAGCAGAGUAUAUUCAUCCAUGUGAUACAGAUCCUGGAGAAUAGCAAUGAGUUGUUGAGGUAGUCGACAACGAUAAAGAUGUUUCC